RNAcentral lists this long non-coding RNA (1417 nucleotides) under Helianthus annuus (common sunflower). RNAcentral describes it as "hypothetical non coding rna". Lineage: Eukaryota; Viridiplantae; Streptophyta; Magnoliopsida; Asterales; Asteraceae. The record is from RNAcentral.
CCACACUUUGAAAACCACGCACACAGCAAGCAGAACCCCCUCUCUCUCGUGUCUUCACCGGCGACCAGAGAUCGGAGCUCCGGCGCCACGUUUUUCUCCGGCGAAUCACUCACCCAUACACCCACACCCUUUUCUCACUCUCUCACGCCGCUCCGACGACCGGUGAUCGAGGUUCCGGCCAGCUCCGCCAUCAUUUUCGACAACCGCAACCACUCUCCGACACCCUCCUUGCUUCUCUGAUGAUGACGGCUGAAGAUGAUGUUUCGUUAUGAACAUGAUCGAAGAUGAUGAUGUUGACGCUGGUUAUCGUUGACGGCGACGGUGGUGCCUCGGAACUCCGGAAGACGUGAUAUAUACGGUCGCCGAUGACUGGGUGGAGUCCGGUGACGGCGGAGAGUCGCCGUCGACAGUGGCGACAGGGCAGUGGUGGUGGCUGUGGUAACAGGCCACUCCAUCUCAGAUACGUUCGGUUCAGUCAAGUCCGGCUUAGAUAGAGGAGACAAGAUGACAGCUAAAGACUGAAGAGGUGGAUAACUCACGCUAGGUAAUAUAAAGAUCUUCUUUGCGUAACACUAAAGAACCUUGAACGGCGAUUGUGACGACGGUGGAGAAUCUGGUCUGGAUUUUGCCAGGUUCUUUCAGUAACCUUUCUAUAAAAAUUUAAUACUUUUGACUUUUCACUUUUGAUUUACCUUACUGUAAAUUGAUGCGAGUAGUUUCAUGCUUUUUAUGCUAUCUAAUCGAUUGAUUCUUGGUUGUCGUUUCUGUUCACCAACAACACGAAUCAACGCCGAUGUUUGAACGCCAAAUCGCGAAACAGGAAAGGAAACGUAGUUGUCAAAUUCAGGUCACCAUGUGAAAUAGUUGCCAGGCAGAUUAAAUUUCAAGUCCUUGCUAUCAUGUUGUGCCAUUUAGCCUUGGUUAACAAUCAGCGAUGUGGCUUAGAAUAGAAGUUAAAGAGAAUGGAUAAGUUGUAAAUGCUUACUUGAUGAGCAAGGCAUGAAUGAGUUGUGCAGGUUCGUGUGUGAACUGUGAAGACCAGAAUCAAGUCGCGUGCCUCAAAGAGGUCGCGUGAAAAAUGAUGACACAAGGAAUUGCUAUUUGGAUGGCUACAACCUAGGAACAUUAUGCAGCCGAAAGCCUGACAUAAGCCGUAACGCCUAUGCCAGAAAUCUACUAACAGCGAAAUAUCUUUUUAUGGUCGUAACUUGCAGCUGGUGUAAGUAAGAUAAGUUGCUUAUGGAUUGAUACAACGAUAUUUUGUAUACACCAGGUAGAUAGGGUAGACGAUGAGAAUGAAAUACACAAACUUAAUGUAAGAAGCAUCGGAUUUUUAUCCACUGUGAUAUAUAUAUAACCAAUCCCCCGCCGCAUCGCGGCGGGUCAUAAAUCUAGUUUAAAUAAAACAAGUGGUUGG